UAUUGGACAAUGGGGGGAACCCUGAUCCAGCGACGCCGCGUGAGUGAAGAAGUUUUUCGGUAUGUAAAGCUCUAUCAGCAGGGAAGAAAUAAAUGACGUUACCUUACUAAGAAGCCCCGGUUAACUACGUGACAGCAGCCGCGGUAAUACGUAGGGGGCAAGCGUUAUCCGGAUUUACUGGGUGUAAAGGGAGCGUAGACGGCGAUGCAAGUCUGAAGUGAAAGGCGGGGGCCCAACCCCCGGACUGCUUUGGAAACUGUAUAGCUGGAGUGCAGGAGAGGUAAGUGGAAUUCCUAGUGUAGCGGUGAAAUGCGUAGAUAUUAGGAGGAACACCAGUGGCGAAGGCGGCUUACUGGACUGUAACUGACGUUGAGGCUCGAAGGCGUGGGGAGCAAACAGG
This 400-nucleotide ribosomal RNA is filed under the name uncultured bacterium. RNAcentral describes it as "bacterial SSU rRNA". It matches the Rfam family "Bacterial small subunit ribosomal RNA", at positions 362 to 776 of the family's 1533-position model. The record is from RNAcentral.